AUUUACUUGAGUGCGAUAGAGGCAAGUGGAACUCCAUGUGUAGCGGUGAAAUGCGUAGAUAUGUGGAAGAACACCAGUGGCGAAAGCGGCUUGCUAGAUCGUAACUGACGUUGAGGCUCGAAAGUAUGGGUAGCAAACGGGAUUAGAUACCCCGGUAGUCCAUACCGUAAACGAUGGGUGCUAGUUGUUAAGAGGUUUCCGCCUCCUAGUGACGUAGCAAACGCAUUAAGCACCCCGCCUGAGGAGUACGGCCGCAAGGCUAAAACUUAAAGGAAUUGACGGGGACCUGCACAAGCGGUGGAGCAUGUGGUUUAAUUCGAAGAUACGCGAAAAACCUUACCAGGUCUUGACAUACCAAUGAUCGCUUUUGUAAUGAAAGCUUUUCUUCGGAACAUUGGAUACAGGUGGUGCAUGGUCGUCGUCAGCUCGUGUCGUGAGAUGUUGGGUUAAGUCCCGCAACGAGCGCAACCCUUGUUAUUAGUUGCCAGCAUUUAGUUGGGCACUCUAAUGAGA
This 513-nucleotide ribosomal RNA is filed under the name Oenococcus oeni. Its description in RNAcentral is "bacterial SSU rRNA". It matches the Rfam family "Bacterial small subunit ribosomal RNA", at positions 636 to 1148 of the family's 1533-position model. The record is from RNAcentral. Lineage: Bacteria; Bacillati; Bacillota; Bacilli; Lactobacillales; Lactobacillaceae.